ACCUCUGCAAUAGGCGAAAGCCUGACAGGGUUACUCUGAGUGAUACCCGCUAAGGGUAUCUUUUGGCACCUCUAAAAAUGGUGCAGAAUAAGGGGUGGGCAAGUCUGGUGUCAGCCGCCGCGGUAAUACCAGCACCCCGAGUUGUCGGGACGAUUAUUGGGCCUAAAGCAUCCGUAGCCUGUUCUGCAAGUCCUCCGUUAAAUCCACCUGCUCAACGGAUGGGCUGCGGAGGAUACCGCAGAGCUAGGAGGCGGGAGAGGCAAGCGGUACUUAGUGGGUAGGGGUAAAAUCCGUUGAUCCAUUGAAGACCACCAGUGGCGAAGGCGGCUUGCCAGAAUGCGCUCGACGGUGAGGGAUGAAAGCUGGGGGAGCAAACCGGAUUAGAUACCCGGGUAGUCCCAGCUGUAAACGAUGCAGACUCGGUGAUGGACUAGCUUCAUGCUAGUCCAGUGCCGCAGGGAAGCCGUUAAGUCUGCCGCCUGGGUAGUACGGUCGCAAGACUGAAACUUAA
RNAcentral lists this ribosomal RNA (511 nucleotides) under uncultured archaeon. RNAcentral's name for it is "bacterial SSU rRNA". It matches the Rfam family "Archaeal small subunit ribosomal RNA", at positions 346 to 859 of the family's 1478-position model. The record is from RNAcentral.